CCUUCCUCUUUCUUGCUUUCUUGCUUUGUGCAAGAACUCCUUGUUGAUGUGAUUCUCUCCACUUGUAUAAUCUCCCAAAAAACAGACCCCCAUAUCCAUUACCCUUUACAAAAAGAGAGAAAGCUCAUCAACAAUAUCAACAGCCAUGGUUUUUUCUUCUAUCCCAGCUUAUCUUGAUCCAGCCAACUGGCAACAACAACCAAAUUAUCAUCAUCACCAACCAGGAGCAACUAGCGGUCUAAACUCUCAUCAGCAUCCUCCUCCUCCUCCUCCACCACCACCAUCGACAUACUUCUUGCGUCCGUAGACCUCCUUCACGACCUCUUGUUG
This 330-nucleotide unclassified non-coding RNA is filed under the name Hevea brasiliensis (rubber tree). The record is from RNAcentral. Lineage: Eukaryota; Viridiplantae; Streptophyta; Magnoliopsida; Malpighiales; Euphorbiaceae.